CGCCUGGGGAGACUGCGCCCGGGAUAAUAGGAGCGCUUGGCCUCUGAGACUACCCGGCAGAAGGGACGUCCCCAAAUGACACUCGGAGGCCGCCUCCCUGGGCUCCGGUGCUCGGUGCCGGGAGGAGCGGCACGGCUUUCUACCCCGCCUCAGGUGCGCCAGCACGUUUUCUGGGCAGCAUCUGUGUGUUAGGCGACCGGAGAGGUGGGUUCCUUAUAGGGAAUAAGAAAACUGAAACUGACUUCCAACUGCAGGCAGAAGGAAGCAGUGGUCAUUGCUGGAGGUUAAAACUGUUCUGACCGGGCGCAGUGGCUCACGCCUGUAAUCCCAGCACUUUGGGAGGCUGAGGCGAGCAGAUCACGAAGUCAGGAGAUCAAGACCAUCCUGGCCAACAAGGUGAAACCCCGGCUCUACUAAAAAUACAAAAAUUAGCUGGGCGUGGUGGCGCGCGCCGGAAGUCCCAGCUACUUGGGAGGAUGAGGCAGAAGAAUCGCUUGAACCCGGGAGGCGGAGGUUGCGGUGAGCCGAGAUCGCGCCAUUGCACUCCAGCCUGGCGACUCAGCGAUACUCCGUCCCCCUCCCCCCGCCCCAAGAAAAAUCUGUUCUGUGGGGAGCGACAAGGAAGGAGCUUUCAGCCCGACGGGGGUCGCAGGGAAGAAUUCAAGAUGGCGUGUUUAGGAGCUCUAGCUCCUUGACAAAUUAGUAAAAUGUUCGUCUUAGGAGAAGAACGAAAAGGCUCUCCUAGGCUAAGAAACAGCAUACACAGUGAGAAACCUCAGAAGAAAUAAAAUUCAAGGAAGAUAGCAACAACGAAAACAUCAGAAGGAACACUAAAGUAGUCAAAUCAGCUUAGCAGAAACAAACUAAGUACGUUAACCAAUGGAAAACUGACGGAGAGAAAUAAACUGUUUUUGCACGCUAAAUGGAAAUGACUUUUGAAUUAUCUGCUUUGGAAGAUUAUCCAUGACACUGUUCUGCCCUGCUCUGCUCUAACAACAUUUGCAGAGAAAUAAUCGUGAUUCUGCUCACCUAAAG
This 1035-nucleotide long non-coding RNA is filed under the name Pan troglodytes (chimpanzee). Its description in RNAcentral is "long non-coding RNA NONPTRT001205". The record is from RNAcentral. Lineage: Eukaryota; Metazoa; Chordata; Mammalia; Primates; Hominidae.